Trematomus bernacchii (emerald rockcod) is the source of this 427-nucleotide long non-coding RNA. RefSeq lists it as uncharacterized. Lineage: Eukaryota; Metazoa; Chordata; Actinopteri; Perciformes; Nototheniidae. The transcript has 3 exons. The record is from RefSeq and is a predicted model, not a curated record.
ACUACGUCGGGCCGAAGAAGGAGGAGAAGAGGGAGGUGGUGAUCGAGGCGGAGAGGAAGAGGCAGAUUUUCCUCGACUGCCACUUCAACGACAUCGGUCAUCACCUCGGCUAGAAGAAGACCGUGCACCGAAUCCAGAGCAAGUACUACUGGCUGGGCAUCAUCAAGGACGUGGUGGACUGGAUCAAAGUGUGUGACACCUGUCAGCACACAGAAAGGAGUAAAAACCUGGCCAGGACGGUCCGGCCCAUUAAAGUGGACGCACCUUGGGAGAUCGUUGGGAUCGACAUUAUAGGGCCUUUCCCAGAGACGCAGCAGGGGAACUCUAACGUCAUAGUGCUCAUCGAUUACUUCAGUAAAUGGCCCGAAGCUUUUCCGGUUCAGAGGACGGACGCUCUCUCUGUCGCAAAAUGUAUUUCCAAAUGCAU